UGGGGAAUAUUGCACAAUGGGGGGAAACCCUGAUGCAGCGAUGCCGCGUGGAGGAAGAAGGUUUUCGGAUUGUAAACUCCUUUUAUCAGGGACGAUAAUGACGGUACCUGAAGAAAAAGCUCCGGCUAACUACGUGCCAGCAGCCGCGGUAAUACGUAGGGAGCGAGCGUUGUCCGGAAUUACUGGGUGUAAAGGGAGCGUAGGCGGGACGGUAAGUCAGAUGUGAAAUAUACGUGCUCAACAUGUAGACUGCAUUUGAAACUGCUGUUCUUGAGUGAAGUAGAGGUAAGCGGAAUUCCUAGUGUAGCGGUGAAAUGCGUAGAUAUUAGGAGGAACAUCGGUGGCGAAGGCGGCU
RNAcentral lists this ribosomal RNA (355 nucleotides) under uncultured Ruminococcus sp. RNAcentral describes it as "bacterial SSU rRNA". It matches the Rfam family "Bacterial small subunit ribosomal RNA", at positions 355 to 726 of the family's 1533-position model. The record is from RNAcentral. Lineage: Bacteria; Bacillati; Bacillota; Clostridia; Eubacteriales; Oscillospiraceae.